AUGAAGAGCUUCCCCGUGGCCGGCGGCCGUAGCGUCUCCCUCGCCCUCUUCUCCGAUGUCUCCAACAGCCAGGAGCUCCUCGACCUGAUGCAGUCGGGGAAGCUGGAGCCAGAGGCCGCUUUUAUCAAUGCAUCGCUGGUGCCGGAUGUGUUCCCGGUUCUUGCGGCAGCGCACAAGGCGCUGCUCUCGAAGUCGAGGGAGUCGCUGACUACGAGGACCCUGCACUCCGAGCUCGUCUACAACUACUCUGGUUCGAAGCAUAUAUCAGAGUCCCUGAAGCGAUGCGGUAUCGCUGAUGACACACAGUAUAUCCUCGCAGCUCGGUUUGAUGCUUCAGAUGAAGAGAUGAAAGCACUGGAAAAGCUCAUCAGCGGAACCGAGAUUGAUCUAUCGGAAUUGGAGUCAAGAGCAAACCAACCAAAGAUUCUGAAGCAAUACAAAAUAACUCCACAGGAACUAUCAAUAUCUACACUGCCAGAUGCAAUCGUUUGCAGGAUUGCUGCUCGAGACGCCCUCUGA
Molecule: ribosomal RNA, 519 nt
Filed under: Triticum aestivum (bread wheat)
Lineage: Eukaryota; Viridiplantae; Streptophyta; Magnoliopsida; Poales; Poaceae
Description: partial small subunit ribosomal RNA
Source: RNAcentral